GGUAAAAUGGCUGAAAUUUAGGCGAUAAAUUGUAAAUUUAUUCAUGGAUAACUCCUUUUGCUA
RNAcentral lists this transfer RNA (63 nucleotides) under Haemaphysalis longicornis (longhorned tick). Its description in RNAcentral is "tRNA-Tyr". The record is from RNAcentral. Lineage: Eukaryota; Metazoa; Arthropoda; Arachnida; Ixodida; Ixodidae.